Hylaeus volcanicus is the source of this 1566-nucleotide long non-coding RNA. RefSeq lists it as uncharacterized. Lineage: Eukaryota; Metazoa; Arthropoda; Insecta; Hymenoptera; Colletidae. The record is from RefSeq and is a predicted model, not a curated record. The transcript has 3 exons.
AGCCUGAGCAUCGCGAUCCUGGCUAGCUGAGCAGCACUCGGACCACCUUGCCUCGCUAAACCCCAGGCUAACUGUGGCAGCCUCUUCUUCAGAGCUUCCUCGCUUACACCAGCUACGACCACCUAAUAUGAGAUCGAUCUGGAGGCGAAAAUUUACGAGUCGCAAAUGUACCUUUGCCACUGCAAGGCCGGCAGCAGCGACUCGACAGCUCUUUUCAUUGCCCAACACUGCAUGCAAAAGAGAUCCUAAUCGCGGCUCUAUCGCGAUCAGUGCUGAAGACGUUCGUAAAGCCGAUGCUACCCUCUCAAAGCCUCUGACACGAGCACGCCAGUCUUCCUGAAACGAGAUCAAAUUACGAUUAAUUGAAAGUUAAGGGGAAGGCGAUGUCAUUCGACAAGAAUCAGGAGUCGAGAAGCGAAUGUUAUCGAUCGUCGCAGCAAGUCUGAAUACAAUCUACCGGUAACAUCUGCAUUUGCUUUCCGAUUCGGCUCUAUUUACACGGAAGUGAUCGAUACUAUCGACUUUUCAUAGUUCCAAAGAACUCGUGGAGGAACUUCCUCAAGAGUCAACAGAAUAAAAAGAUCUACCAUGGCUUCGCAAUAUUUUGCAUUCUACUACAAGAUACUUUAUAAAUAAUUACCCCCGAAGAAGACACACCAAUUACAAGAAAGUACCAAUUACUUCAAGUACGUCAUACCCAAGACGUUAAUGAGACGUUAUUAAGUACAAACUUCGUUCCUCUCGUGUCUUCGCGUACAUUCGAAACGAUUACGAAAUGCAAAACACGGAUAUUAGGACUGGUUCGAAGACGCCUCGCGAGGUUCAAACGACGCUGGAAUCGCAAUGGAUUUGCAUAUACAUCGAAACGGCGAUUUAGUGGACCGACGUGGCACGCAACGCGUUCCUAAUUAUUUUCUUGCUACCCGCGGGCGGCACGCGUUUCGCCUCCGCGACUUCGGUGCAUAAUGUUCCAUAGGGAAAUCUCUCUCGUUUUUCAUCAGCGGAAUAUUCAUACUAAUCGCGAACGGGGACUGUUUCAGCGUCUCGGGGCCACGUGGAAAGCGAGACGCGGCAUGCAUUAUUCAAAUCGUCGCCGUUUCACUGCCACGAGGAUACGAACAUCGGGGAAAAUGUCUUCUGGAAGUGUGAUCAAUCUACUUAAUCAGUCGACGCAAUAAAAACACCGUCAGGCAAGGGGUGGUCCCUGAAAAAUUCCGCAAAUGAAGAACAUUAAUGAUAACGAGAAAUUAAAACGUCACGUUGACAUACGUUUCUCAGCAAAGAACAUGUUGCAGGUUCAAAGUAUGACAUUAAGUGACUUGCCUGUUAUAGUGUCUGCGACACAGGCAGGGGAGGAUUCGACCACUCAACACGUUGUUGGUCAGGUGAAUAAGCUUUACUCAACUGAUGUUAUUCAGUCGGUAAGAUGAAAAUAAGCUUUACUCGCAAUCAGAGUAGCUGUUCAGUCGGUAUGGAAACUCAUGCUUUACUCGCAAUUACACUGACUAUUCAGUCGGUAUGGUACACUCACGCUUUACUCACAAUCAGAGUAGCUGUUUAGUCGGU